Long non-coding RNA from Helianthus annuus (common sunflower), 371 nucleotides. RefSeq lists it as uncharacterized. The transcript is spliced from 3 exons. Lineage: Eukaryota; Viridiplantae; Streptophyta; Magnoliopsida; Asterales; Asteraceae. The record is from RefSeq and is a predicted model, not a curated record.
ACGAUCGAGAGAGGGAGAGAGACAGGAAGAAUCAAAACCCUAACAAUGUAAAAUCCAUCAAAUUGAAAGGGAAAUUGAAGGCUAAUUGAAUGCAUGAACUAGGAAUGUCGAUCACUUAAGUAUCUCCAACAUCAAGGUCGAAGAAAGGAGGGAAAUCAAACCAAGCAAAGGCAAUAAGAGCGCACGACUCCGGUAAAUCCCAUGUUUGAUAGCAAGCUUCAAUCGAACACACCACACCUCGUGCCCUUUUUGCGCUUCCGGUUAAAGUCGUCUUUUGUAAAUGGGUUAAAACACUUUCAUAAUGUAAAUGUUAAACUUAUGUUUAGGAUGUUUCGUAAGCAAGUUAGGAUUUUAAAUUUUAUGUUGGUAGU